RNAcentral lists this ribosomal RNA (478 nucleotides) under uncultured soil bacterium. RNAcentral's name for it is "bacterial SSU rRNA". It matches the Rfam family "Bacterial small subunit ribosomal RNA", at positions 26 to 506 of the family's 1533-position model. The record is from RNAcentral.
AGAUUGAACGCUGGCGGCAUGCCUUACACAUGCAAGUCGAACGGUAGAGUAGCAAUACUUGAGAGUGGCGAACGGGUGAGUAAUAUAUCGGAACGUGCCCAGUCGUGGGGGAUAACGUAGAGAAAUUUACGCUAAUACCGCAUACGAUCUAAGGAUGAAAGCGGGGGACUCGCAAGAGCCUCGCGCGAUUGGAGCGGCUGAUAUCAGAUUAGGUUGUUGGUGAGGUAAAAGCUCACCAAGCCGACGAUCUGUAGCUGGUUUGAGAGAACGACCAGCCACACUGGGACUGAGACACGGCCCAGACUCCUACGGGAGCAGCAGUGGGAAUUUUGGACAAUGGGCGCAAGCCUGAUCCAGCAAUGCCGCGUGCAGGAAGAAGGCCUUGGUUGUAAACUGCUUUUGUACGGAACGAACGGUCUAGGUUAAUACCGUCGGACUAAUGACGGUACCGUAAGAAUAAGCACCGGACUAACUACGU